CAGUUAACCCAGAGCAGCUGAGCCCGCUGUGCUCCCAGCUGCCAUUAAAAGAGCUCAGCCUGAGCUGGCUGUAGUCUGAAGAGCGUCUUUCCUUCAGCUACCCAGGCAUGAGGAUGCAGACAUUUGCCACCAGACUGUUUCUGAAGGGGCCAAUGUGGGGACAAAGAAGCAGAAACUGGAGCUAUGAGAGCAAGGAAGAACAGGAGGCAGGUGUGCCAACAGCCACAGCCCAGAGAGCCCUGGGAGCAACGUUAGAGCUUGUAGGAGCAUCCCCGAUGCCAAUGUGUGACCUUGCUAAGGGCUGCAGUUAAUGCAGAUUCAACAAAUAAAUAAACAUUUGCAAUAGGUUCAGACGUGACCUCAUCCCAACGGUGAUCACUAACAGAAUUAUUGACCUGACCGUUUGCUGCUGGAGAAUUUUGGAAAUGCCAGGUUCAUUACAGCCCUGCUUAUUGCCAGGAAGCAUUACAGCUUUGUGCUCGCAGCAGCUUUAAAGGCAGAUGAAAGCCAUAACGCCGGGUCACCCCAGAGACACACCAAGUGCAUCAUCUCAGGUGACCUUUGGGGCUGGGAAGAAGCUGCAGUUUCCCACUAGCAUCCAUGAGUCAACACGAGCAUCAAGUCACAGCAGCACGCCGAACCUCAUUUAUCAUUCCAUUUAAGGUGUCAGCAGAGCCAUUAUUCAAAUGAAUGGCCACGCAUGCAAUCAAUCUUUAAUGAAACAAUAAUUGCACCUUCCACUCUGCAAGACCUCUGCCUUUCUUAAAGGUAUCCUGUGUAUUAAUUAUUGAAAAUGUCUGUGUUUUACCAGCAGUAAGUUAUGUUUCACCAAUUGCCAUCUUUCAAGAGAGUUUUAACUGGGAAAUUUAUGACUCUCGAUUUCGCUAAGGAAAAAAUAAACAGCAGA
This 907-nucleotide long non-coding RNA is filed under the name Gallus gallus (chicken). RNAcentral's name for it is "lncRNA (ENSGALG00010029112.1)". The record is from RNAcentral. Lineage: Eukaryota; Metazoa; Chordata; Aves; Galliformes; Phasianidae.